UCGGGAAUUUUGGGCAAUGGGCGAAAGCCUGACCCAGCAACGCCGCGUGAGGGAUGAAGUAUUUCGGUAUGUAAACCUCGAAAGAAUGGGAAGAAUAAAUGACGGUACCAUUUAUAAGCUCCGGCUAACUACGUGCCAGCAGCCGCGGUAAUACGUAGGGAGCAAGCGUUGUUCGGAUUUACUAGGCGUAAAGGGCGCGUAGGCGGCGCGGUAAGUCACUUGUGAAAUCUCUGAGCUUAACUCAGAACGGCCAAGUGAUACUGCUGUGCUAGAGUGCGGAAGAGGCAACCGGAAUUCUUGGUGUAGCGGUGAAAUGCGUAGAUAUCUAGAGGAACACCUGAGGCGAAGGCGGGUUGCUGGGCCGACACUGACGCUGAUGCGCGAAAGCCAGGGGAGCAAACG
This 402-nucleotide ribosomal RNA is filed under the name uncultured bacterium. Its description in RNAcentral is "bacterial SSU rRNA". It matches the Rfam family "Bacterial small subunit ribosomal RNA", at positions 355 to 774 of the family's 1533-position model. The record is from RNAcentral.